GGAAAAUCCAGAACGUACCUUUGAUUUAGUAGUAAAGGUAAAAUGCCAGACAUCUGAGAAUGAAGCUUUCAUUGUCACCUCGCUUGGACUAGGGACAGGAAUUCAAAAAGCCUGAGUGGAUUCAAUCUUUGAAGGUGCUGACAUCCCCUUUCAUGUCUUCUACGUAUGCAUUGAAGAUGUCCUCUCAAACACCAAGAGCAACUUGGGAUUUCAAACUUUUUAUACUGCAGAAUGUAUACAGCAUUUGUUCCAACUCCAACAGUUCUUGAGAUAUUGGGCAUUAUGGAGAGGGAGGCUGAAUGGUACUUACUGUAACACUUUUAUUCCUGAGAAAUAUUAGUUCCAGAAAAAAAUAGUAAACAUUUAGCAAACAUUUUGUAAAAUUAGUUUAAAUUGUGAUCUCUUGUGAACUUUCAAAACUUAAAACAUGAGUUAUAAAGCAUUAUAAAAAAGAGCUUCAAGAGGUGUGCCCAAUCUCAAUUCAGUCUUUCUUGAAAUACCUGCAUCCCUUCCAUCUUUUGUAUCACAUGUCCACAAUAAUUUCUCUUUUAGGGGUUUGCAGGAUUCUCUUGAAAUGGUCACUGAUCGCAUGGACCAUGCAGAAAUGCAGUUUGUCAGCCUAUGAUAUGGAGUAUAUGUUUCUAUAGAAUGAAUAUUUUUCUUAAUUAUUCAAAUAUUUUAAAUUAUUCAGGAUCUCAUUUUUUUUUACAGCCUGCUCUUGAGAAGUGUCAUAAAAAAGAAUAUAUUUGUGUUGCUAGUGAUCUGAUAUUACUAUAUUAUGGAAACUGUAAUGGUAUUACAAAGAAGCAGUGUUAAAAAUAAAAAAUAAAAAAUGAUGUCCAGAUAGCACUAUUUGUUAUUAGAUAAUACAGUAGUAUAAGAGUAAUGUUGUAGUUGUGAUGGUCCAGAAAUGAUGUGACACUUAAUGAAGAAUGUUUUCCAUUCAAAAGCUUGUCUAAUUUUAUUCUGGUUACAUAGUUGGUUCAAUAAAAGAUA
Molecule: long non-coding RNA, 996 nt
Organism: Alligator sinensis (Chinese alligator)
Lineage: Eukaryota; Metazoa; Chordata; Crocodylia; Alligatoridae
Exons: 4
Source: RefSeq, a predicted model, not a curated record